Molecule: ribosomal RNA, 217 nt
Filed under: Staphylococcus aureus
Lineage: Bacteria; Bacillati; Bacillota; Bacilli; Caryophanales; Staphylococcaceae
Description: partial 23S ribosomal RNA
Rfam family: Bacterial large subunit ribosomal RNA
Source: RNAcentral
UGAGUUAUGUCAUGUUAUCGAUAUGUGAAUACAUAGCAUAUCAGAAGGCACACCCGGAGAACUGAAACAUCUUAGUACCCGGAGGAAGAAAAAGAAAAUUCGAUUCCCUUAGUAGCGGCGAGCGAAACGGGAAGAGCCCAAACCAACAAGCUUGCUUGUUGGGGUUGUAGGACACUCUAUACGGAGUUACAAAGGACGACAUUAGACGAAUCAUCUG